AACCAUUCCAGAUGACCCUGGCCAUUAGCAGCAGGCUAUUAACGCAGCACUGAGAUUCUGUUGGUGUACUUCUCUGCCAUGAGAGUUCUCUAACUCUCUCUGCUAACUUCAGAGUUCCUAUAUGCACACUGGCUUCCCUCUAGCCAUCUCCAAGCUGAAGAAAGAUGUCACUACCUCCACCAACUUGUAGGAAGAGAAUUGAAUGUGAGUGGCCUGCCUUGGAAAUUACUCUUCUGCCUAGAUAGCUGGGAUUUGAUGCCUUCGUCAUUCAGAGAAAAUGCAACAAUUAAGAAUGUCCUUAAGAGACUGACUCUUGUCUUCCCCAAGUGCCUGUGGCCAGAGGUGACAACACAAGGAAGAAUCCCCAAAGAAGCAUCCUGUCAGUGCAGACACUGCCUCGUUCUUCAGGAGAGCUAAUUGGGGAGGGACCAAGUCAAAUCUGUCACCUCCUGAAAAUAAUCUUUCCAGAAGAGAGUCUAUGCUUACUACAUUCCUCCUGAAAAGGAGAUUUUUGUCUUUGUAAUAUAUUUUAGCACCUCUGAACCACUUUACAAAGAGUACACAAAUAAAAAGAAAUGUUUUCUCCA
Molecule: long non-coding RNA, 587 nt
Organism: Cyanistes caeruleus (blue tit)
Lineage: Eukaryota; Metazoa; Chordata; Aves; Passeriformes; Paridae
Source: Ensembl